GGAUGCUGUUUUAGGGAUGCUGGAGGCAUAAAAGAUUUUGAAUGCUUCAAUUUUUCCUCUAAUUAAAGCCAUUUUUUUUUUCCCUCCACAAAGCUAAGAACGUUUCUUCAGGGUCUAAGAACGUUGUUAAGAAACACGUCCAAGUAGAUCUCUGUAAAAGAAUAAAAUUUUACCGUGAAAAUAACAACAGAACUUGGCGUAUCACGAGUUUGGAUCAUUUCUUUAUUGAGCAUAACGCUUAGAAGGCAUUGAGAGGGAGUUGUGGUUGAUCCCUUUAUAAAUCCGCUGGUUUUAGUCGUAAUUUUGUUUUGCGGAGGGCAUGAUACGUUGGUUCUAAAACAGCAAACACUGAAGAGCAGCGUUACAAAUGGAAAUACUUGACGUGUUGAGUCCUUCAUGGCACCUGCUCAUCUUGCGUUUUCCUCAGCCAGAAACGUCAAGACUUUUCUUGUCCUGACCGUACGUUUGUGCUGGAUCAGGAGCAGAGAGGGCGGGAAGAGCUCACUGGGCCGCCUUCCAGCUUCGGUUCUUGAUCGCCGGCUCCGUCGCCAACCGCUGAAGCAAUGCAACUGCGCCUCACAUCAGCCUUUGCGAGAGGUGGCUCUGUUUCCAUUUUGAUUUCAAGGAACCCAUUGCAUCAAUACCCGUUCACAUGACCUUUUUCUGACGUCCCUUGGCGUGCGGAAGAUGUGUACCCAGCUUGAGUUUAACAGAACUCUUCAUGUGAUCAGCAGUUGGGAUGAGGAGGAACUUCUUCCAAACUGUGAUCCCUGUCAUCUUAUGUCGAUGGGUGUCUAACGAACGGCGUAGGUGUCUGAGUUUCAGUGCCCCGUCAAUACAAGGAGUCCUUUCGAACACAGGUGUUUCUUCUGUAAUCUGCAUUGGGGAAGCAUCUAACAUAACACCAACGCUUCUGUUUUCUGGCCUGGCCUCAGGGCAGGUGAGAAUGAUGGUUGUGGAAGGGCUGGAAAGCUGCUUUUGGUGCUGUUGGGUGCAGUAGGUGAAUGACCCAUACAACCUGUUUUUGAAGGAAAAUCCUAGAUGGUGGUAAAAAUUUCCAAAAGAAUUUUGCGGGGCCGAAGGUCCACAUACGGUAACAUCAAAGUUGCAUUA
RNAcentral lists this long non-coding RNA (1113 nucleotides) under Columba livia (rock pigeon). Its description in RNAcentral is "partial uncharacterized LOC102093367, transcript variant X2". The record is from RNAcentral. Lineage: Eukaryota; Metazoa; Chordata; Aves; Columbiformes; Columbidae.